UCUCCGUUGGUGAACCAGCGGAGGGAUCAUUACAGAAGUCUUUUUUGACUCCUAAACCAAUGUGAACUUACCUUUGUUGUUGCUUCGGCAGGCCGCCCCUUGGGAGGGGAUCAAACGGGCUGCCGAAGGUUUUUAAAAACUCAAUGUUUUAGUUAUCUUCUGAGCACUAAAGAAAUAAAUCAAAACUUUCAACAACGGAUCUCUUGGCUCUAGCAUCGAUGAAGAACGCAGC
This 232-nucleotide unclassified non-coding RNA is filed under the name uncultured fungus. RNAcentral's name for it is "sequence contains ITS1, 5.8S rRNA gene". The stretch from base 184 to 232 matches the Rfam family "5.8S ribosomal RNA", at positions 1 to 49 of the family's 154-position model. The record is from RNAcentral. Lineage: Eukaryota; Fungi.